Molecule: ribosomal RNA, 440 nt
Filed under: uncultured bacterium
Lineage: Bacteria
Description: partial 16S ribosomal RNA
Rfam family: Bacterial small subunit ribosomal RNA
Source: RNAcentral
CCUACGGGAGGCAGCAGUGGGGAAUAUUGCACAAUGGGGGAAACCCUGAUGCAGCAACGCCGCGUGAGUGAAGAAGUAUCUCGGUAUGUAAAGCUCUAUCAGCAGGGAAGAAAAUGACGGUACCUGACUAAGAAGCCCCGGCUAACUACGUGCCAGCAGCCGCGGUAAUACGUAGGGGGCAAGCGUUAUCCGGAUUUACUGGGUGUAAAGGGAGCGUAGACGGUGUGGCAAGUCUGAAGUGAAAGCCCGGGGCUCAACCCCGGGACUGCUUUGGAAACUGUCAUGCUGGAGUGCUGGAGAGGUAAGCGGAAUUCCUAGUGUAGCGGUGAAAUGCGUAGAUAUUAGGAGGAACACCGGUGGCGAAGGCGGCCUGCUGGACUGCGACUGACGUUGAGGCCCGAAAGCGUGGGGAGCAAACAGGAUUAGAUACCCGGGUAGUC